This is a long non-coding RNA of Microplitis mediator, 616 nucleotides long. RefSeq lists it as uncharacterized. NCBI's taxonomy places the organism in Eukaryota, Metazoa, Arthropoda, Insecta, Hymenoptera, Braconidae. The transcript has 3 exons. The record is from RefSeq and is a predicted model, not a curated record.
UUUAUAUUCAAUAUUCGAAUAUCAUUCAAAAUAACAUAAAACUUCACUCCACGUGAAAAAAAAAUCUAACAUCAAUAAAUUUUCGGCAAAAGUGUGAAUUCGUUUGGCUCGAAGGACCACAUUUGAAAUAUUUUUACUAUGUUGAAACUUUUAUUGUUGAUUGUUCUUAUUCAACCAUUUGUUGUAAUGACUGAUUAUGAGUGUAAUACGGAAGGCGGAUAUUGUUAUGUCGGUGGAAUAUAUUUUUACGAAAAAUGUUGUGAUGAUUAUUAUUGUCAACCCGAUGGUGAUAGAACUAGAAUGGGGAAGUGUAGACUUAAAAGUUUAAUUGGUAUAUAUCUCGGAUAAUUCAUCUUUUAUACAUAAAAUCGGCAAAUCAUCUAGAGUUCAAAGAUACCCCAUUAAAAUGUAAGAAAAAUGUCUGACUAUACUUUCAGGAUGUAAAGUGCUCUUAUCAGAUCAAUACUGCUCAGAUUGACUGGAUCAAAAUUGUAUAAAUAUUAUGUGAAAGAAAUUAUGGUACAAAUUGAGGAAAUUUGUGAGGGAAAAAUUUUCUAUAUAAUUUUCGAAUUGUAAAACUGCCGAAUAUCUUGAAUAAAAUAUUAUAAUUGUUUUA